GAUGAACGCUGGCGGCGUGCUUAACACAUGCAAGUCGAACGGAAAGGCCCAAGCUUGCUUGGGUCCUCGAGUGGCGAACGGGUGAGUAACACGUGGGUGAUCUGCCCUGCACUUCGGGAUAAGCCUGGGAAACUGGGUCUAAUACCGGAUAGGACGAUGGUUUGGAUGCCAUUGUGGAAAGUUUUUUCGGUGUGGGAUGAGCUCGCGGCCUAUCAGCUUGUUGGUGGGGUAAUGGCCUACCAAGGCGUCGACGGGUAGCCGGCCUGAGAGGGUGUACGGCCACAGUGGGACUGAGAUACGGCCCAGACUCCUACGGGAGGCAGCAGGGGGGAAUAUUGCACAAUGGGCGCAAGCCUGAUGCAGCGACGCCGCGUGGGGGAUGACGGCCUUCGGGUUGUAAACUCCUUUCGCUAGGGACGAAGCGUUUUUGUGACGGUACCUGGAGAAGAAGCACCGGCUAACUACGUG
This 468-nucleotide ribosomal RNA is filed under the name uncultured bacterium. RNAcentral describes it as "partial 16S ribosomal RNA". It matches the Rfam family "Bacterial small subunit ribosomal RNA", at positions 28 to 507 of the family's 1533-position model. The record is from RNAcentral.